This is a long non-coding RNA of Pecten maximus, 2252 nucleotides long. RefSeq lists it as uncharacterized. The record is from RefSeq and is a predicted model, not a curated record. Lineage: Eukaryota; Metazoa; Mollusca; Bivalvia; Pectinida; Pectinidae. The transcript is spliced from 3 exons.
GACUGGGACAUGAUAUUGUGUGCGUUCCUGAUCCAGAUCACGUACACACACCGGUACAAAACGAAAGCGGACGUACGGCAAGCAGCGCGGACAUGUGACAUCGUGAAUUUUGGGUACGUUCCUGGUAUUUAACUUUGCACAACUCAACCAAUUUUACAAAAUAUCAACUUGAAACUCUGUUCUUAAGUGUAUUAUUGCUACAGCGUCUUGUCAUUUGUUGAUAACGUGCAGCAGUGCACUCUGGGAGAUUGAUUAUAGCCUCAUACGGAAACAUGUAUUUCGAUUGGGAAUUAAAUAACUUCUCAGGAUCUACAGAGGAGGUAACCGCCAAACAAGUCUUGAGAUCGAUUAUCACUCAAAUUCAUUUUCCUGCGCCCACAUUUGUAAACUUGGUUAUAAAAGACAGUAAUGCUGCCGAGGGGACACCUUUCUCUGAAGCAUCGGUCUAUCUUCAGCUAAGCCAUGAAAGUCGAGAGGCAUUUAGAACAAGAUAUCAGAAUGGAUAUCCGAAGUGCGGAAUGGUUUACAUGAAAGACAUCCUAGAUAAGUCUCUUCUUCAUGAAUUCGUAGAACAUGGUGUUGCUGCCGUCACGAAACAAGCUGACUAUGCUAAUGGGGAAGCAUUCUUGACAUUGUUGAGAUUCCUGAAAGAGCAAGGAAAUCAUGAAUGCGCGUUGCAUGAACUUUUCACAGUCAUUCUUUCAAAAAGUGGAAAUAAAGAGAGUGUUAUUUUGGCUGGAUUGGCAUAACACCUGUUUUCCCAGUUGGCACCAGGCAAGAGAUAUGCAGUUGAUAGAUACGCAAAGCAGCUUCCAGACAUAUGUGGUUGUAGGUGUAAAGCUGCUAUUAGUAAAGGGAACACUUCAGUAGGAUCACAAACAACAUGGCAUGGCAGAUUAGAUAUCCUCCUGGAUGAUACAAUCGCUGUGGCAGUUCAUGGGAAGAAAGAAGGUGCCAAGGAGGCGGAACAAAGAAAGGGAGAAUCUGAAUCUAAAAGUUGUAAUAUUUCUGAAGAAGUUAAAACCACCAACAAACAUGAAGGUUCUCUCCUGGAUUCCCGGGUUUUGAAGCAGAUCUUGGCAGAAGCUAUCACAAAUGGAUUUGCUCAAGUUAAUCGCAUAGGGCAUAAACAUUCACAAUUUUGUAUUCCAACUUUUGGAGCCACUCCAGAACAUGUUACUGUUUGUUUGUAGGACUCUGAGAACGACUGCUUACUACACAUCAAGGAACAGCUGGAUUUAUGGUGUCCAGAUGAGAUGGUAUGCUAUAGUCAGCUAAAUGUCACUACCAUAGUCAUCAUUUGGCUUUUUAUCAAUUUCACUCUUUUUACUCAAAAGAAUCUGUGUAGUGUCCUGGGCCUUGACAAGACAGGAUUGCAUGAUGAGUUAAAAGAAUGCCUGAAGUAUUAUAGAAAAUGCAACAGUAGGAGGGAAUUUCGACUCACCAACUCCUGUUGUACCUCCAUGGAAAUAUGUGACCCCAGUCCCUAAAACCCGAAACACCCAAGACUGAAGUAUUCCCAAAUAUUGUGCAUCUAUUAUACUUACAUAAAUGUAUAUCUUGUUCACAUUAUAUAUACAUAUGUAAUAGUAUAUAAGUAGUUUGCAUUGCCAGCAGUAAUGAAAACUAUCAGAACACUUGUGAAAUGUGAUUUGUAAAGAAUUUGAUACAUGUUUUUAACGACAUGAAAAUGUGCUGUGUUGCAUUUUGAUCAGAAAAAUAUUAUUUCAUUUCCAUGUCUGUAUUCAUUUUGAUACAAUAUUUCUCUUUUGCAUUGGAUUGCCAUUUAUAUUGUUCCCAACAUGGUUCUAUGGUCACUUUACAUAUAUUAUUAGUUUCGUACUGGUGAAACCAGGACUAUAGGUUUCCUCCCCGUCCGUCCACUCAGUUUUCCACUGUUUUCUCAGUCAUGCUUCAAGGUAUGUUAGGAACAUUGGUAUGUUACUUCAGUAUGAGUAGGUACAGAUCAAGUUUGACUUUCGUUCGACUUCACUAAUUUUUACAAGAGUUAUGGCCCUUACCUUGAUCCACGAUUGUUUUCUGCACUUUUUUUAUUGACCACCUGAACCUUGCACAGGCACUUGUUGAUAUUCCAGUCCAAUUGUAGAUAAAUGAACAUGGCUAUUGUUUUGUAAUAUGUCUAUUUGUUGCUUCUAUUCGCAAACAGUCUUGAGUUAUUGAUAACUUGUUUGUUAAUUUCUUUUUAUUUGUAAAUAGUACCUAUGACUGAUAGAAUAAAUAAUGAUAUUUUG